AGAGGUCUGUCUUUGGAAACAGCAGAGCUGAGCCUUAGAGCAGAAGCCUCCUUGACCAGCAGACUAUGCAGAUGUGCUAGAAAGCACAUUCUCUCUUGAAUGUACAAGAUCUUCGCUAUUGAGUUCCCAGGCUUCCUACUUACCUGUUGCUGAAGACCAUUCUGUUCAACAGAGCCAGAGCUGCCAACCAGGCAGAGGUCUGUUGAUCGAACGCUUCAUCCUGCUCACUUGGACGAUGGCUCUGGCUGCACUCCAAGGCUCCCGGCUCCGUUCUUCUGGGCUGCUAUCCUUCAUCAGGUCCACAAACAGCAACCUUUGUCUCAUCCACAGCAAGCCAGCCAAGGGCAAAGUAGGACCCCUGGUAAGUUGUCUUCUUGUCUGUCGCCUCCUUGUCUAGGGCAGAGCUAGCCAAUGGGAUACACUUCAGAUGCUGCUGGACUCCCACUCCCAUCAGCACCAACCAGUAUGGCCAAUGGUCAAGGAUGAUGGGAGCUGAUCUAAAGCGUUUCGAGAUUGUCACUGUUUCUGGAUCGAAUUUGGUUGCACAUUGGCAAAUUCAGGUGGCGCUCUGAAAGUUUAUUUGGAGCUCUUGCACCACAGGCUUGCUCCCCCCUUAGAACUGGACUUUUUGCAAGAAGGAAAGUGUCAGGAAAAUGCUCUGGAAAGUGUGGCGUAACUCUUGCUCGAGGCAACAUUGUCUAACCGCCCUGAAAACAAAUCAUAUUAAAUAGUCAAUAAAUAGCCAAUGCUGUCUGACCUGCUUGCUGAUUUUGUGCAAGCAAAUCAGGAUGAAUGCUGAAUACGCAGGUCACCUGAGAGCUAUCCUGAUCUAUUUAUCAGGCAAGGCAAGCUGUCUCUCUUGAAAACCUACUCUUGAUCAGAACAACUGUAUGAGUGUGGAUCCCUGAGACAACUUAAUGAAGGAGCAUUUCUUGUUCCUAGCUCCCCUUUCUGAUGCCCAGAAAGCCUCUCUCCAAAGACACUGGGGAGAUGCCUGACCACUCUGGAAUAGGACUAAGAGCUCCUGGAGGAAAGAAUUCCUUCCAUGAGCUCCCUUAAGUUAAUUGAGGGGCUCCAGACUAGGGAUGGAAGGAUUUGUCUAUUUCAUUUCUCUCCGUUUCUAAUUUUUUCAAUCUUAAAUUCAGUUCUCCGCAUUUUGACGCAACUUGUGAUUUUCAGUCUGUCAGAUGGAACAAUCCUCCCUCUUCUUCCCCUGUGCACUGUUCUGAGGGAUCUCAUGACACACAGCACUUUGGGAAAGUGGGUGCAGGGACAGAAGGGGGGAAGCCCCAUUGCGCUAGCCUAAGUCCUUGCAGGGGCUUCCACUAUCAGGACUCAUGAAUUGAAUCACACCCAGAACAACCUAAGAUGAGUUAUUGGGUCCUGAAGCUUCCCAUCUACAGUGAGCACAGUGUUUUUCAAACUUGGUUCCCCAGCGGUUGUUGGACUACAACUCCCAUCAUCCCUAGCUAGCAGGACCAGUGGUCAGGGAUGAUGGGAGUUGUAGUCCAACAAAAACACUGAGCUAGCUCCUGAACAGCAGACUGAACAGACACACAUGUGGUCACAGUCUUCCUUGAGUAGAUGCCUUGUAUCUCUUCUUAAAUGAUAGCAAUUAUUUCUCAAACUGAGUAUGUAAAUUUAACUUAGCAUGUGCAACUGUUUUGCAAAUACACACACUUUUUUUAAAAAAGCAAUGCAUUUUCUUUUGUUUUGGCAAUGGCAAGGAAACCUGCUUCGGUUUCCAUGUAUCCAUCUGCAUGCAUAUGGAACUCUGGAGCAGUGAAAGAUCUCGUGCAAAAAGGUUGUGUUUCUGCUUAGCUGUGGCAGCGCACCCUCAAAAUGUGCAAAAAGCUAGAAAGGAAAGCGAAGCCACUAAGCUGUAGUGCAGCUUUGAAAGUAAUCCCCCACCCCCAUUUUUAACCCAUAGUGACCUAAAAUGACAAAUCACACUUUGCUUUUCAGUUGACAUGAAGUACUUCAGCUGGUGACUGGAUUUGUAGGAUAAUCAACUUUCACUGUGGUUGGUUCUUUGCAUCUAUCACAUUACUGAGAUUACAGCUUUAAAAGUUCAAUAGCGUUGGCUGUAUCUGUAAGGCAAAAAGCUCCCCCCCCCCUCAGGCAGCCUCGCUUGCGUCUCUGUUUUGCCUUGCAUGACCCUUCUUUCCCUUGAUUUAGGAAACCGUCAUCGGUUUAACAGUGUUUUCAUUGGCUAUUCUCGGACCAACUGGAUGGUUCCUGAGCCAUAUUUCAAGCUAUAGAAUGAGGUAGAAGACAUUCUUCUGCGUCCGAGAUGCUUCAGAUUCAGAUCUGCUAUCAACGGCCCUGGAAAAUAAAGUCACCUUGAAGUCCUACCAGCUAAAAAUAGAAGCACCAAUUCCAGGUUCUGCGCCUGUUGUUCUUACCUUACUGUUGCUUUGUGAAAACGCAAACGCUUACGGACAAUAACUGUUUAAAAUUCUGUUUAGCAUUUCUUUUGGCAUUUUUUAAAAAUGUAACUGCAUUUUCUCAUAUAUCAAUCUGCAGCAAAAAUCACCAUUCAUCUUGAAUCAUGAGUAGCAUUUCUGUAUCACUUUUAGACUGAGCCCUGGCCCUUCCUUGCCCAGGUGGAUUGGCGCAGGUGUCCAUUGCAGCUAUGGAACUAUUGGGUAGUUUCAGUGUUUCUCCUUAGAAAUGGGAAUUCUAGCCUAACUGAAUGGGUUAAUAACAGUCAUGCAUCAAGGAGACAAAAGAAGAGCCUGCUGGUUCAGGCCAAUGACCCAUCCUGUUCCUGCAGUGGGCCCCCAGAUGCCUGCAGGAAGCCUACAAGCAGGAUGUCAAGAGCGAGCCAGCAGUAAAUCACAAUGUGCAAACUGGAGUUAACUCUUUAUUAGCAAAAACAAUAACAGGAGUGCCAGGCCUAAUGAGCACAGCAGUACAUCUCCGGUAGUUCUUGUCCCCGUGAAACAGUUGCUGAGACUGAAGUUUCCUGCCUCCCCACAACUGCCUAUAUCCCCUCCUCUCCAGGGUUCCCCCCAAGCAAUCAGAGACUGUGUCUGCAUGUCACCCAUCUCUCCUCCGCCCUUUUCAUGUCUCUUCUGGUUCUGGGAGACAAGGAGGGAGGGGAGCUUGUUGCAACAGGAGCGGGAGGCACUCAGGACUCUUCACCAGGCUAAAUAAUCUCUGCCUCUCGGCCUUUCUCCUUCCACCCUCGUGCUUCAGUUUCUGUCUCUGAUUCUGUCACAGACUCUCCCAGCUCACGAAAUCCUGUUAACUCUUCAGCUUCCAACACCCCCUCUUCCCAGUCUUCUCUCUCAUUGUUGUCUGACCACUUAUUUUUGUCCCACCACAAAUCCACGGGCUCCGGACCUUAAUCCCUUGGUUGUUCCCUAACUGGUUCCUCCCAUCAUUCCUCUUUGCCCAAGCCUUUCAUAACACAGGACCUGUGUACAAGGACCCUCCCUCCUCCUGUGGUUUCCAGCAACUGGUAUUCAGAAGCAUUGCAGCUGGAGACAGAGCCUAGCCAUCGUGGCUAGUAGCCAUUGAUAGCCUUGAAUUUGUCUAAUCAUCUUUUAAAGCCACCUAAUUUGGUGGUCAGCACUACCUCUGUGGGGGUGAGUUUCAGAGUUUAACUAUGUGCUACAUGAAGAAGAAGGUACAUGGAUGGCGCUGAGGGUUAAACCACAGAGCCUAGGGCUUGCCGAUCAGAAGGUCGGCGGUUUGAAUCCCUGCGACGGGGUGAGCUCCCGUUGCUCAGUCCCUGCUCCUGCAAACCUAUUAGUUCGAAAGCACAUCAAAGUGCAAGUAGAUAAAUAGGUACCACUCCGGCGGGAAGGUAAACGGCGUUUCCGUGCGCUGCUCUGGUUCGCCAGAAGCGGCUUAGUCAUGCUGGUCACAUGACCUGGAAGCUGUACGCCGGCUCCCUCGGCCAGUCAAGCGAGAUGAGCGCCGCAACCCCAGAGUCGGCCACGACUGGACCUAACGGUCAGGGGUCCCUUUACCUUUACCUUACAUGAAAAAGUACUUUCUUUUAUUUGUCCUGAAUCUCCCAAAAAGAAUGAAGGAGUUUAAAAAAGUUGUGAGAAUUGGCAGUAAAGGGUGAAGUCUGGUUUUGUUGAUGCUGCACUCAUGCUGGAUUCUCCCGCACGAUCAUUUAAGUCAUCAUUACUCAAUGCCAGCCGUCCACGAGGAUUAGAGUUAAAGUCUCUGGGGGUAUCUCAACUGAUCUCAUAUUGAGCUGCUCAGCUCCUAGGUGUAGGAUAGCUCUCUCACCACAGCCGGCCUGAUUACAGACUUAUUAGGUCCAUGGGAAGAUUCCCAUAGUUUCAAGCCUGUGCUCCUCAGUGCAGGCUGCAAAACAACCCAGUGUUCAUUAGAUAACACCAAAGAGAUUUUGACAAGGCACAAACACAAAACUCUGAUUUUACCAGCAUGAUCACGCUUGAAUUGAGGACACACGAGUAGUAAUCCGUCGAGGUCAAGGGGAUCAUUCGUGCACUUUGAGUUAAUGAGCGCUCCUAAUUGCUUAGAAGAUUUGGGAUUUAGUUGCAUUUCACCCACACCCACACCCACACGCACACACCCACCCACACACACCAUGUCUUUCCCUAUAUAUAUCAUACAGGAAAUAACUUGAUGAGUGUUUGCCUGUUAUUUAUCUUUCAUUAAAGUGUUGCUGAUAAGCAAUAAGGCUGUCUGCUGAUAGCCAAGUAAACAAAGGACAUGGACCAGAGGAAUGGGAAUGGCAGGAGAUGAAACUGUGGUGUUUUGGGGUUUUUUUUUUAAAAAAGAGAUAAAUAACAUAUUUGGUAAAGUACAUCAAUGUUUAUAUAUUGUUCUGAGGUCUUGAGCAGUUGCUUGAAGUAUGGAUUGGAAUAAAAGGCCCUGGUGCAAUUCCCCCCCCCCCCAGUUUUCCUCUGGUAUUAUAAAGCAUGUCCAUUACACGAUAGGAGAAGGGGAGCUGUUGUCCUUAAUUACUUGUGAUUCGCUGGCCCGGCUCCCAAUUUUUGUAGUUCCUUGCCCCAGAGAGAGAUAGGCAAUUCAGCUGUUUGUCCCAGAGGUCCUCAAGGAAGAUGCCUGAAUCCAGAGGCAAGAAACUUGCUCUUCUGUCGCUUAGCAGUAGCUCUUAGUUCACCCUUCUCCACUGGUCUCACAGUCAUCAGAAGAGGAGAUAGGAGGCUGCCUUUGUACUGGAUCUGGGGAAAGACUCUUUGUGCUGUGUGAUCACCUGCGGUCUCCAGCAGCUGCCCUGUUUUGCUUAGUGCUAUCCAUGCAGGCACUGCCCACUAGGUGCCAUUUCAGGGACUGGCUGGAUGAGGAAGAGUGGUGGGAGGCCCCUGCGCAAGAGCCCCCCCCCCGGAGGGCUCAGAUGAAGAAGACUUCGAUCCCAGAUCCUGGUGGUGGGACACUGGGAAGCAGUCUGGAGAAGGGACAAGCUGGGAGGUGCUACAAGCAAGGGGGUUGAGCAAUCAAGGGGGGGGCAUCAGAAGAAGGAGGCCCUCCAGGACAGAGUUAAAGUCUGAGAGUCACAAUGUGAGUGCAGACAGCCCCAGUCCUGCUGACGCAGUGCUCAUCUGCUUGGGAGGGAUCCAGAUUAAAAGGUUAGAAGGGGAGGGAAGAGCUAGUGGUAAGUUUCGGCAAGGUCUCAGCCGGAUUAAUACAAACCGGAGGACUCUACUGUGAUGGUAUUUUCUGUUGAUAAAGACCUAAUUGCAACCUGUGCCUCCCAUGUGUGUGCCUGCCCUGUGGUUGACCUGGCUCGUUGACAACAACUUGACAUGCCCACAGCAACAUUGCUGUCAGGCACGGAAUGUCCAGAGUGAGGAAUUAAGUCAAAAGUACACUUACAAGUUAGGAAAAGGCAUGUCCAUCAGUCCUACUUUUCAGCUACGCCUAGGUGUGUACCCGAUGAUGCAGUUUCCGCAACAGAGAGGCCCCGAGUCAGGCUGCUGCCAGCAACUCCCACGGCCGGUUGCCCAGGAACAUACAAAAACAAGGAAUGUUCUUACCAUCCACUUUUUAUUCAGUAUUUACAGAGAGAGAGAGGCUAUAGAACCCAGCCUCCUGGAUAAGGGCAUUGUCCAGAGUGAAUCUCCACACCCUGGUCUCUCCUACUUCCUCCUUCGUUACUUCUAUGGGUACUGCUAUGUGCCCUCUGUCUUUGAGCUCUUUGCUCUCCUACUUUCAAGGCUCGCCGGGUUCUGGGGGGGGGGGUCUGUGUCCGUCAGCUGUUGCCCCUUCUUCCUCCUCAUCCUCUCCAAUUAGUUCCCAACUUCCCCCUCAUCUGCCUCUGAGCUGUGACAUCCCUCCAACCCCUGUGGUAAAUCUAUACUGUCUUCCUUUUCCUCCUCCCUGGAAUGGUCAGGCUGGGGAGCGAAUCCCCAUCAUUCGUCCUCUGCCCAGUUCCUGACACCCCGCCCCCAACCUUGGCUUAUGUAUCUCCCCUACCUGAGCUGCACACAAAAACUCCACCUGUGUGUCACCUGCUUCUGCUCCCCCCACUCCAAUCCUCUCCUGGUCCUGGGAGACAGUGGAGCAGCAGAGGCAGCCGCAGAAAGAGGAGGCAUGGUAGUGCGGUAGGAGAGCUGAAAACAAUGCCAAUAUAUUGCACAUCUAGAGCAAAAUGUAGAGCAGGAGGCUUAGUUUGGUCAGUAUACACAGAGUUAUCGCUAAACACAUUAAAUCUGGUAAAUGAGUCACCAUAGGCGCUAGAGGGCUGUGAAAAUCUGUGAGCCUUGGGAGCCGAAAUCCCAAGGGAGCAAAAAGACUAUUUAUGUAGGUGACCAUGGCUGCGCAGAUGUUAUUGGCCCAGAGAUGGAAAGAAGAUAAAAGUCCCUACCAGAGAAGAAUGGCAGAUCAAGUUGAUGGAUUAUGCCAAAAUGGCUAAAAUGAUCGGAAGGAUCAGAAAUCAGGAAGACCAAAAUUUUAAUAAGAAAUGAGGGAAAUUUAUAAUUUAUCUUAAAAACCAGUUAAACUCGUUAGUAGGAUUGGAAUAACACUUAUAGUUUAAUGGUGAAUUUUGGACACAAUGGAGAGGUGAAAGAUUUGGAUAAUUAUAAAAGAUGCAGGAGAAAAUGAUUUAAAAAAGGGGAGGGAGGAAGUCCAGGAGAGCCUUUGGAAUCUUGUUUCUAUGUAUGUUGGAUAUGGGACUGUCAAAUUUUAAUUGGGAAAACCAAAUAAAUUUAUAUAUAAAAAAAGAAAGAAAAUUUGUGUCCCAGGCUUUUUAGACUCUACUACUACCCACUGUGGCGCUGUGGGUUAAACCACAAAGCCUAGGACUUGCCGAUCAGAAGGUUGGCGGUUCGAAUCCCCGCAACGGGGUGAGCUCCUGUUGCUUGGUCCCUGCUCCUGCCAACCUAGCAGUUCGAAAGCACGUCAAAGUGCAAGUAGAUAAAUAGGUACCGCUCCGGCGGGAAGGUAAACGGCGUUUCUGUGUGCUGCUCUGGUUCGCCAGAAGCAGCUUAGUCAUGCUGGCCACAUGUACGCCGGCUCCCUCGGCCAAUAAAGUGAGAUGAGCGCUGCAACCCCAGAGUCGGUCACGACUGGACCUAAUGGUCAGGGGUCCCUUUACCUUUACUACCCAUGUACUAUCUGAAACCAAAGGGGCAGAAACCAAUGCCUGAUGUGAAUCCCCCCCCCAGCUCUCCUACCCCACUAUGAAAGGCCUGGACUCUUCACCAGUCUGGCCUGUUUCUCCCUCCUCCUGCAACUGUUCUUCGCUCCAGAAUCCUGCAGCUUCUCUUGCCUCUGACUCUCAACUCCUGGCUGCUACAGGCUCUCCCAGAUCACUGAUCCCUUCUUCCAAGCCAGUCUCCAAACUCCCCUCCCCUGGUGCCCGCUCAUCAGAAUCCAGCCACUAUCCCCUCAGUAUCCAGCCAGUCACUGACAAUUAUGCAAAAUGCCUACAAGCGUAAUGGAAAUCCUAACUAGCUGUCACCUGCAUCACAGAUGGUUAAACAAGCCUUAUAAAGUUGUUUUGAAACUGGGGUUCUUUAUAUUCUUCUUCUACUUUGCAUCUGAUUUAUAUUUAAUAGUGUUAGAAUAUAAUUGAUAGAAUCUGCUGUACUGCAUAUAUACUUUAAAGAGCUAAUUGGCAGAGAACACUCAACUAGCCUGCAGGGGGAUCUUGCUUUCGUCCAUGAUCAGCGAAGAAACACAACUUCCCCCAAAUUAGUAGUCUGCACAAAUCUCAUUAGAUGCUGCUGGAACACACAUCUUAAUUUGUUACCAUAGGAAUAGAUAGAAUUAUGUGAUCUCCUACACUGAUAAUUAGAACACAGCUAAUGAACACACAUGCUUAGUAGGUUGGGAAUUACAAAUCUGUUUUUAUAUGUGAAACAAAAGCACUGUGGGCCAUCUAGGAGCUUCAAUGUAAAGGGGAAGAGACAAUGUAAUAAGCAAUCUUUAAAUAUUUGAAUGGCUGUCACAUAGAUGAAGGCGAGAAUUAGAUUUCUGCUGCCCCAGAGGGCAGGAUCCAAACCAACAUCACAAGAAAAGGGGUUUAGAUUCAACAUUAGGAAGAAGUUCUCCCAGACUGUACUGUUUGACUGUGGAACGGACUGCCUCAGAAGUUGGGGAACUCUCCUUUGUGAGAGCAGAAGCUUAAUUUCAUCCCCCCCCCAUUUCAUUUUUAAUUUGUACACCACCUUUCUAUAUUACUAUACACAAGGUGGUUUUCAACAACACAAUAUACAACAAAGAACACACAUCUUCACAGGCAUCUCUCAGAGCUGCAGCCCUUCCUCAGCGAAUUCUCCAAAUGAGUUGCUAUAAUGAUUUGUUUAGAGAUUUUUUUUUUUUUUAAAUCCUCUUUAGGAGUCAUGAAUUGGAUAAAAUUGAUGGAGAACCAGCAGCUAUCUUUAAGACAGUCUAAAAGACAACUGAAUUAUAUAGUUACGGAAGAGCUCUUUGAAUGAGUGACAGUUUAGUUAUUAUGGAUACUGUAUUUGUAAAAUCAAUUGAUGGGUCAUGAAUUUGUGUUUUCCAUUGAUGACGUUUGUAGAAUUUAAUAUUAUUAAUAAAGUUUAC
This 9006-nucleotide long non-coding RNA is filed under the name Podarcis lilfordi (Lilford's wall lizard). Lineage: Eukaryota; Metazoa; Chordata; Lepidosauria; Squamata; Lacertidae. The record is from RNAcentral.